Lontra canadensis (Northern American river otter) is the source of this 261-nucleotide small nucleolar RNA. Lineage: Eukaryota; Metazoa; Chordata; Mammalia; Carnivora; Mustelidae. The record is from RefSeq and is a predicted model, not a curated record.
CCGGCUGAUGACACUAAGGCGAAUGCGACUCCAUGCUGUCUGGUCCUUGGCUCCCUGGGGGUGGUUUGGAAUGGGAUCUGAAAUCUUAGUGGGGUGCCCGAGGCCUGGCUCCCCACUGUAAGGCAGAUCCAUAGCACUGCCGGCCUUGCCUCCAUUUCUGCUGCUGCCUCCAGUUUCUGGCAGCUGCCUGCAGGGGGGCCCACAGGUGGGGACCGGGUGGGACCAGGCACGAGGUAUCUGAGCGCAACCUUGGAUCUGACA